This 598-nucleotide ribosomal RNA is filed under the name uncultured Hyphomicrobiales bacterium. RNAcentral's name for it is "bacterial SSU rRNA". It matches the Rfam family "Bacterial small subunit ribosomal RNA", at positions 35 to 668 of the family's 1533-position model. Lineage: Bacteria; Pseudomonadati; Pseudomonadota; Alphaproteobacteria; Hyphomicrobiales. The record is from RNAcentral.
GCUGGCGGCAGGCCUAACACAUGCAAGUCGAACGAGAAGCCUGGCUUCGGCCGGUGGAAAGUGGCAGACGGGUGAGUAACGCGUGGGAAUGUACCCUUUGGUUCGGAACAACUCCGGGAAACUGGAGCUAAUACCGGAUGUGCCCUUCGGGGGAAAGAUUUAUCGCCAAGGGAUCGGCCCGCGUCGGAUUAGCUUGUUGGUGGGGUAACGGCCUACCAAGGCUAUGAUCCGUAGCUGGUCUGAGAGGAUGAUCAGCCACACUGGGACUGAGACACGGCCCAGACUCCUACGGGAGGCAGCAGUGGGGAAUAUUGGACAAUGGGCGCAAGCCUGAUCCAGCCAUGCCGCGUGAGUGAUGAAGGCCCUAGGGUUGUAAAGCUCUUUCGCCAGGGACGAUAAUGACGGUACCUGGAUAAGAAGCCCCGGCUAACUUCGUGCCAGCAGCCGCGGUAAUACGAAGGGGGCUAGCGUUGUUCGGAAUUACUGGGCGUAAAGCGCAUGCAGGCGGAUCGUUAAGUCGGGGGUGAAAGCCCGAGGCCCAACCUCGGAACUGCCUUCGAUACUGGCGAUCUUGAGUCCGGGAGAGGUGAGUGGAACU